UCGGGAAUUUUGGGCAAUGGGCGAAAGCCUGACCCAGCAACGCCGCGUGAAGGAUGAAGUAUUUCGGUAUGUAAACUUCGUAAGAAUAGGAAGAAUAAAUGACGGUACUAUUUGUAAGGUCCGGCUAACUACGUGCCAGCAGCCGCGGUAAUACGUAGGGACCAAGCGUUGUUCGGAUUUACUGGGCGUAAAGGGCGCGUAGGCGGUGUGUCAAGUCAGUUGUGAAAUCUCCGAGCUUAACUCGGAACGGUCAACUGAUACUGUCACACUAGAGUACAGAAGGGGCAAUCGGAAUUCUUGGUGUAGCGGUGAAAUGCGUAGAUAUCAAGAGGAACACCUGAGGCGAAGGCGGGUUGCUGGGCUGACACUGACGCUGAGGCGCGAAAGCCAGGGGAGCAAACGGGAUUAGAUACCCAUGUAGUCCCUGAGCGGGCUGGCAAGGCGCAU
This 447-nucleotide ribosomal RNA is filed under the name uncultured bacterium. Its description in RNAcentral is "bacterial SSU rRNA". It matches the Rfam family "Bacterial small subunit ribosomal RNA", at positions 355 to 825 of the family's 1533-position model. The record is from RNAcentral.